Molecule: transfer RNA, 48 nt
Filed under: Uropeltis liura
Lineage: Eukaryota; Metazoa; Chordata; Lepidosauria; Squamata; Uropeltidae
Description: partial tRNA-Leu
Source: RNAcentral
UCUACUAAAGGAGAGCAGCCCUCCACUGGUCUUAGGCGCCAAACCCCU